ACGAACGCUGGCGGCGUGCUUAACACAUGCCAGUCGAACGGAAAGGCCCUGCUUUUGUGGGGUGCUCGAGUGGCGAACGGGUGAGUAACACGUGAGUAACCUGCCCUUGACUUUGGGAUAACUUCAGGAAACUGGGGCUAAUACCGGAUAGGAGCUCCUGCUGCAUGGUGGGGGUUGGAAAGUUUCGGCGGUUGGGGAUGGAUUCGCGGCUUAUCAGCUUGUUGGUGGGGUAGUGGCUUACCAAGGCUUUGACGGGUAGCCGGCCUGAGAGGGUGACCGGCCACAUUGGGACUGAGAUACGGCCCAGACUCCUACGGGAGGCAGCAGUGGGGAAUAUUGCACAAUGGGCGGAAGCCUGAUGCAGCAACGCCGCGUGCGGGAUGACGGCCUUCGGGUUGUAAACCGCUUUCGCCUGUGACGAAGCGUGAGUGACGGUAAUGGGUAAAGAAGCACCGGCUAACUACGUG
This 467-nucleotide ribosomal RNA is filed under the name uncultured bacterium. RNAcentral describes it as "partial 16S ribosomal RNA". It matches the Rfam family "Bacterial small subunit ribosomal RNA", at positions 29 to 507 of the family's 1533-position model. The record is from RNAcentral.